RNAcentral lists this ribosomal RNA (236 nucleotides) under uncultured Staphylococcus sp. Its description in RNAcentral is "partial 16S ribosomal RNA". It matches the Rfam family "Bacterial small subunit ribosomal RNA", at positions 104 to 334 of the family's 1533-position model. The record is from RNAcentral. Lineage: Bacteria; Bacillati; Bacillota; Bacilli; Caryophanales; Staphylococcaceae.
GGGUGAGUAACACGUGGAUAACCUACCUAUAAGACUGGGAUAACUUCGGGAAACCGGAGCUAAUACCGGAUAAUAUUUUGAACCGCAUGGUUCAAAAGUGAAAGACGGUCUUGCUGUCACUUAUAGAUGGAUCCGCGCUGCAUUGGCUAGUUGGUAAGGUAACGGCUUACCAAGGCAACGAUGCAUAGCCGACCUGAGAGGGUGAUCGGCCACACUGGAACUGAGACACGGUCCAG